UCAUCACAUCAAUUUUGAAAAGCUUCUAAAAUCUCUCUCUACCUCCACAAAGUUCUGCCAAUAUCUAUCUUCUCUAUCCAUCCGUUCUUCGUCUUCCUCAGUUCUUCGUCUUCCUCUCUCUUCCUCAUUCUUCUUCUUCUUCUCCUUCUUCUUCUUCAAUGAUGUCGACUUCAAUGAUGUGUUUUCUCAUGUUGUGAAGCAUAGGUCCAUUCAAAAGUUGCUUGCCAUGGUGACACAGUUCGAUCUUGAAUUGGAACAGAUGGAUGUGAAGAUUGCGUUCUUGAAUAUUCAGAACCUUCCAAUAAUCUUCCAAUGAUGGAGAAUAGGUUUAGAAAAAGGGGGUUCAGAAUCAAGAAUAGGCUGUUUGCUUUUAGACUUGGGUGAAGAUGGAGAUGGAGGAUUAGAAAUAUUUGUGGUUGGAUGAGGAAUGGCUUUUUCUGGUGAAAUUUUAGGUGGAGCUUCUGUUGAUACAUUAUUUGAAAUUAAAACAGGAGCAGAACCUGGUUCAGAAAUUACAAUACCUGAAGAUCCUUUCUUCUUCUGAGGCCUAGCAGAACAACAAAGAAGGAAGAAAGAAUAACGGUAACAGAAACAUGAAAAACGAGAAACAAACCAAAUGGAAGAUAGGGGUUGCGACUAAUUUGUGGAGAAAAUAUGGUACUGUUAGAGCAACUGAUACGUGGGUUAUAUUUAUCGGUGAUGAGUAUACUAAGGAGUUUACUGCUAGAAAGAAAGAAGAAUCAUGGUAAUAGAAGCUACUGAUCUAUAAGUUUUCCAUGUAUCUGAUGAUAUAAUAUUUUAUGCGAGUUUUCUCAUUGUUAUUUACCUGUUAUAUCAUUACAUUUCUGGAAUUAGUUAUGACUUAAGAAUUGUGUUCACUUUUCAAAUUCAGCAUGACUUUGUUUUCAUAUGUCAUGCAUUCUCAUCGAACCAGAAUUUAUCCUUGAUAUAUAUAACUUUUACUUAGUAUUUCAAUACAUAUUAAUUGUAAAUCUUUUAAACACUAUUCGUUCUGUUUUCUAUAUUCUUCAUGAAGCAAACUCUCAUUAAGUUGUCUACUAUUAUAGCGAACUUUCCGAUAUUCAUGAAGCUGAAUCGUAAUGAUGAUGCCGCUGGGAUAAAUCUAUCGUGAUGAUAGUUUCCGUAGGAACUUUCCGAUAUUUCAAAUUUCUUCUUCUUUUUCUUUUGUUAUCUGUCCUUAAACAUUUUUUUGC
Vicia villosa (hairy vetch) is the source of this 1214-nucleotide long non-coding RNA. RefSeq lists it as uncharacterized. The record is from RefSeq and is a predicted model, not a curated record. The transcript is spliced from 3 exons. NCBI's taxonomy places the organism in Eukaryota, Viridiplantae, Streptophyta, Magnoliopsida, Fabales, Fabaceae.